RNAcentral lists this ribosomal RNA (253 nucleotides) under uncultured bacterium. Its description in RNAcentral is "partial 16S ribosomal RNA". It matches the Rfam family "Bacterial small subunit ribosomal RNA", at positions 524 to 776 of the family's 1533-position model. The record is from RNAcentral.
UACGUAGGGUGCAAGCGUUGUCCGGAUUUAUUGGGCGUAAAGAGCUCGUAGGCGGUUUGUCGCGUCGGAUGUGAAAACCCAGGGCUCAACCCUGGGCCUGCAUUCGAUACGGGCAGCCUAGAGUAUGGCAGGGGAGACUGGAAUUCCUGGUGUAGCGGUGAAAUGCGCAGAUAUCAGGAGGAACACCGGUGGCGAAGGCGGGUCUCUGGGCCAAAACUGACGCUGAGGAGCGAAAGCGUGGGGAGCGAACAGG